UACUAUGAGAUGGUACAAUCGUGAGCACACAAGUUUUAAUGUAUUGAAUGAGGGAAUUUUGCUCGAGGACUCAAGUGACAACCUAGCUCACAUUAUCAAUCUAGCCUGGAAUGACACCCCGUCUAGAAUGGCAAUGAGUAAGGAGAUGGUUGCAUGCCACUAUGUGUAGUCGAUAACACUAAAAGUGUCCCAAUAAGAGGAGAAUUAUGCCCGACAAGAUGUAGGAUGCCAUGGAUGGCAACAUUGCCUUGAAAAUGAAAAGUUAAACUCAGUCCUGGUUCAACUCAUUCAAUAGGCACGACACAAGAAGUUGUUAUCUAUGCCCUUGUAAUGAGAGGAGAUUUAACCUAACCAUAGGUUCAUGGGUUUGGAUCAAUCUUCGUGCUUGGCAUGGGAAUAUAGAGGCAAAAAGUGAUGUGUACGACAAUAAAUAUAGUACCAUGGACAAACGGUUGAGCUUGAUACUAAAGAUUGAGGGUAAGACAUAUAAAUGAACGGCUUCACCACCUGAUGUGGUGUGACAUGUCGACAUGUGAAUAUGAAAUUGGAUAGGCAACAAACUCCUUAUCACCUAUAUUCAUGCAGAUAAUCUCCCUGGUGAUCAAAUUGAGCUAUGCGGGUGUAGGAGGGACCCCUAGAUUGAGUCUUUUCCUUUUAUUUUGCUUUUAAUAUUAUUUACCUUGAAACUCAAGCUAUAUUAUAACUACUUUUGAUGUUGACUCCACGAAAUAUGUCAGUUUAAAGGCAGAUUUGAUUUUUCUCCUCGCAUUUCUUUGUUUUACAAAAUUUUUUACCUUUCAUUGUGUCCACGUGAUGAUCUAUGAUUCGAAACAUCAAAAAGCAAGUUGUUACAGUUUCCAUUGUCUCAUCAAUGGUAGCUUUCUCGUCCGGUAACAUGUAUAAGGAAAACCUUUAUAUUUCGCAUCUACUUGGUGAAAAAAAUUUGAAGGGUCAUAUGAUCUACUUAGAGAGGGACUAUCUUCAAUCACUUGAAAAGCUUUGCUGUUUCAUUCCUUCUACAUCCUUUAUGCAGGCAUAUUUAGUUUGAGGAUGUGAUUUCUGAACAAAUAUAAACAUCUACCUACCCAUCUUAUUAAUUAUGCAUUCACAUGUUUCUUUACUUUUUCCAUUUUCCUGCUUAUAUUAUCACGCUCAUGAGUUUACUAUCUCUGUGUAUAGACUUAUUCAGUAGGUAUUUUAGUUCUUGAUUUCACCCAAUUUUACUUGGUCAUGUAGGGAGCGGCAACUCAGUGUUAUGUGGCGUUGAACCCCCAAGAAUAUGUAGUUGGCCAAGAAACUGGGGGAUUUAUGUGAUUGAUAAUAAUAUUGCCAGCCCAACCAAUCAUGCCAAGAAUAUGUAGUUGGCCAAGGAACUGUGGGAUUUAUGUUAUUGAUAUAUGGACUGUUAAAUGGUGGAAGUAGAUGUAUCAUUAUUUUUAGUUUCAAGUGCCCCUUUGAGCCUAUACAAACAAUUACUGAGCACAAGUUUGUUAUACUGUGUAACAAAUACAAUAGUGUUUUUGUAGAUUUCAGUCCAAAAGUGUUACAAAAGUAUUUUAAA
Molecule: long non-coding RNA, 1561 nt
Organism: Cucurbita maxima (winter squash)
Lineage: Eukaryota; Viridiplantae; Streptophyta; Magnoliopsida; Cucurbitales; Cucurbitaceae
Exons: 2
Source: RefSeq, a predicted model, not a curated record